UGGCAUUUAGACAACCGGAAUACACAUAGG
Molecule: non-coding RNA, 30 nt
Filed under: Homo sapiens (human)
Lineage: Eukaryota; Metazoa; Chordata; Mammalia; Primates; Hominidae
Source: RNAcentral